GAGCUCGGUUCUAUUUUGUUGGUUUUCGGAACUCCGAGCUAAUGAUUAAUUGGGACAACUGGGGGCAUUCGUAUUGCGACGUUAGAGGUGAAAUUCUUGGAUCGUCGCAAGCCGGACAAAAGCGAAGGCAUUUGCCAAAGGUGUUUUCAUCAAUCAAGAACGAAAGUUAGAGGUUUGAAGGCGAUUAGAUACCGCCCUAAUUCUAACAGUAAAUGUGCCAGCUAGCGAUCCGCCGACGCUCCUACAAUGGCUCGGCGGGCAGCUUCCGGGAAACC
Molecule: ribosomal RNA, 275 nt
Filed under: Apoplania valdiviana
Lineage: Eukaryota; Metazoa; Arthropoda; Insecta; Lepidoptera; Neopseustidae
Description: partial 18S ribosomal RNA
Rfam family: Eukaryotic small subunit ribosomal RNA
Source: RNAcentral